Molecule: ribosomal RNA, 484 nt
Filed under: uncultured bacterium
Lineage: Bacteria
Description: partial 16S ribosomal RNA
Rfam family: Bacterial small subunit ribosomal RNA
Source: RNAcentral
AUUGAACGCUGGCGGCAUGCUUUACACAUGCAAGUCGAACGGCAGCGCGGGCUUCGGCCUGGCGGCGAGUGGCGAACGGGGGAGUAAUGCAUCUGAACGUGCCCAGUAGUGGGGGAUAGGCCGGCGAAAGCCGGAUUAAUACCGCAUACGACCGGAGUGGGAAAGCGGGGGGCCGAAAGGCCUUGCGCUAUUGGGUCGGCCGAUGUCGGACUAGCUAAUUGGUGGGGUAAAGGCUUACCAAGGCGACGAUCCGGAGCUGGUCUGAGAGGACGACCAGCCACACUGGGACUGAGACACGGCCCAGACUCCUACGGGAGGCAGCAGUGGGGAAUUUUGGACAAUGGGGGCAACCCUGAUCCAGCCAUGCCGCGUGCGGGAAGAAGGCCUUCGGGUUGUAAACCGCUUUUGUUCGGGAAGAAAUCCUCUGGGCUAAUACCCCGGGGGGAUGACGGUACCGGAAGAAUAAGCACCGGCUAACUACGUG